Mobula hypostoma (lesser devil ray) is the source of this 487-nucleotide long non-coding RNA. RefSeq lists it as uncharacterized. The transcript is spliced from 3 exons. The record is from RefSeq and is a predicted model, not a curated record. NCBI's taxonomy places the organism in Eukaryota, Metazoa, Chordata, Chondrichthyes, Myliobatiformes, Myliobatidae.
AAUGCGUGCUCCAUGGCCGCCCAGGCCAAGGACUUGGUAUUGCCUCAGAAACCUGUCCUGAUGAAGGGUCUCAGCCUGAAACGUCAAGGGUUCACUCUUUUCCAUGGAUGCUGCCUGGCCUGCUGAGUUCCCCCAGCACUUUAUGUGUUGCCUUAAAGUAAGAUCAUUGGUUCUGGGACACAUCUCAAUCGAUAAGGAAGUACUGCAGUGGGGGCUCUCAACUCACAGGUAGGAGGGGCUGUCCCCCACGGUUAGAUGUUUCUUCUAGCUCAACCCAGCGUCAUCUAGAGACCCCAGCCUUGGAAUCACAACUUCGUUACCUUUUUUUUAUUAUUCGUGUUUCUUGGCUAUUAUUUGUUCAGAGAGUAGAUCGAUUAAGUUGUAUUCUGCAAAUUUCAAUGAUAUACUAACAGAUAAAUACACAUGGCUAAGGACAAGGUAAAAUUCAUUUCUUUUAAUGUCAAUGGGCUGUUGAAUCCAAUCAAAC